UCUCUUCGGAGCAUUUUACGAGGUGCUGGCAUGGUUGUCGUCAGGCUCGUGCCGUGAGGUGUCGGGUUAAGUCCCAUAACGAGCGCAACCCCUACCUUUAGUUGCCAACAGGUCAUGCUGGGGACUCUAAAGGAACUGCCUACGCAAGUAGUGAGGAAGGCGGGGAUGACGUCAAAUCAGCACGGCCCUUACGUCCAGGGCUACACACGUGCUACAAUGGCCGAUACAGAGGGCAGCUACCUGGUGACAGGAUGCAAAUCUCCAAAGUCGGUCUCAGUUCGGAUCGGAGUCUGCAACUCGACUCCGUGAAGUUGGAUUCGCUAGUAAUCGCGCAUCAGCCAUGGCGCGGUCGAAUACGUUCCCGGGCCUU
RNAcentral lists this ribosomal RNA (370 nucleotides) under uncultured Sphingobacteriales bacterium. RNAcentral's name for it is "bacterial SSU rRNA". It matches the Rfam family "Bacterial small subunit ribosomal RNA", at positions 1016 to 1382 of the family's 1533-position model. Lineage: Bacteria; Pseudomonadati; Bacteroidota; Sphingobacteriia; Sphingobacteriales. The record is from RNAcentral.